UACUUGUGUGAACAGUGCAGAUAACUUCUGCUAUGUUUGUGGUGAAGUGACUUUUGCACCACAAAAGCACAGUAUAAUCACUAUGAUUAAGAAAGCCUAUCACCUUUAUUUUGGCUGCAAAAUUGGAGAUCAGGACAAGAGGUGGGCCCUACACAUAUGCUGCAACACUUGUGCAACAAAUCUUCGCCAGUGGUUGAACAGGAAAAGGAAAUCUAUGCCUGUUGCAGUGCCAAUGAUUUGGAGAGAGACAAAAGAUCAUACCAGCAAUUGUUACUUCUGCAUGGUGCCUCCAGUUGGGAAAGGUGUGUCAAAGAAGAAAAAGUGGACUGUGCAUUAUCCAAACAUUCCAUCAACUAUACGCCCAGUACCCCACCGAGAAGGACUGCCGGUUCCUGAUGCACCAGAAUCAUUCUCACUUGAGUCAGACGAGGAAGUGGAAGAGGAUAAAACUUCUGGUCCUGAACCAUCAAUGUCACAGGACCCACAUUUUCUCCCAUCCUCCUCCUCUGAACCACACCUCAUAACACAAGGUGAACUGAAUGACCUUGUCAGGGAUUUGGAAUUACCCAAGAGAAAGGCAGAGUUGUUGGGCUCCAGACUACAGCGGUGGAAUCUCCUGGCAGGUGAUGUUAGGGUUUCCAUGUUCCAUGACCGUCAAAAGGAUCUUGUCCCAUUCUUGUUCAUGGAAGGUGAUCUUGUAACCUGCAACAACAUCGAUGGUGUGAUGGCAGCCCUCGACAUCGUUCACUAUCCAGAUGAGUGGAGACUGUUCAUUGAUUCAUCGAAGACGAGUCUUAAAGCUGUUUUACUGCAUAAUGGCAAUGUUUUGCCAUCAAUUCCAGUUGGUCAUGCAGUCCAUGUGAAGGAAACCUAUGACAACAUGAAACAACUUUUGAGGUGCAUAAACUAUGACCAACAUCAGUGGCAGCUUUGUGGCCAUUUGAAGGUUGUUGCUCUCUUGCUUGGUCUGCAGACUGGAUACACAAAGUACUGCUGUUUUCUCUGCGAAUGGGAUAGUCGUGCAAGAGAUUCCCACUACAUCAAGAAAGAUUGGCCACUCCGACAGUCAUUGGAGCCUGAGAGGAAAAGUGUUCAUCAUCCACCACUUGUUGAAUCAAGUAAAAUUUUGUUACCACCCUUACACAUCAAGCUGGGUCUGAUAAAGAACUUUGUCAAGGCCAUUGACAAAACACAAGCAGCUUUCAAGUACCUCCGUGGAAAAUUUCCAAGGUUAAGUGAAGCUAAGAUAAAGGAAGGUGUCUUUGUUGGUCCUCAGAUUCGUGAACGUCUUCAAGAUGAUGCAUUUGACCAUGCACUGCGUGGCAAGGAAAAGACGGCAUGGAAAGCCUUCCAGUUAGUGGCAAUACAUUUUCUCGGAAACAACAAGGCAAACAACUAUAGGUUGUUGGUGGAAAACCUUCUCAAGGCAUACAAAAGCCUUGGUUGCAACAUGUCACUAAAGAUACAUUUUUUGCACUCUCAUCUAGAUUUUUUUCCACUGAACUGUGGAGCAGUGAGAGACGAGCACGGCGAGCGAUUUCACCAGGACAUUGCAACAAUGGAGAAAUGCUAUCAGGGCAAAUGGAGCCCAUCAAUGCUUGCAGAUUAUUGCUGGACAGUGACAAGAGAUGCUCUAUUUAAUGAAUACAAGAGACAAGCCAAGAAGCGCUGAGUAGACACUGAAUAGGUCUAAACUAUGUACAUAAUAGUUUUUUGCCUUUUGUUUCAUAAUAAAUUUUAUUUAUAUAACCCUUUUGCUGAUUUU
Molecule: long non-coding RNA, 1765 nt
Organism: Chrysemys picta bellii (western painted turtle)
Lineage: Eukaryota; Metazoa; Chordata; Testudines; Emydidae
Source: Ensembl